CAAUACGUCAAUCCUUUACGUCGUCGACCAAUACUCCCGUCGCUGUGCAUUUUGCAAUUGGGUCCCUUGCAAAUUGGGAAAUUAUUCCACAGUCCCCCCACCCCAACAUUUUCCCCAUCAGCCGCCAGCAAUCCCUUUCUCUUCCCCGGGUAGCCGCCGCCGGACUCCAUCGCUCCACCUCGUGCGCCGGCGCCACCACCCGACACUGUGGUCGUCUCCCGCAGGGAGUGGGGCGAGGAGUCUCGGCAGUAGAAUUGUUUUGUUUUGCUCGUUUCGUCCGUCGCUCACACCCGCAGUCCUCCACCAUCCUCUAGAGCCCGGAUCCACCCCGCCCUGCCCCGAUCCAUUCACUCCGGGCAAGAUUUGCUCCCCAAUCCCCGCACAUGUGCAUCCUCCUCUGCUACCAUCCCGUCAAGAUGAAGCUUUCCUUCCUAAGACACAGAUUCGAGGUCUCUGCCUCACGUCGUGGUGGAGUUCAUCAGCGCCUUCCAGGGGCACAUGGGCGUCAAGGCUUCUUGCCUCGAACAUUCUCUGGUCGCCCCCAUAACUACGCACGUCGCCGGUGAGGAGAGCCCCUCGGCAUUGCACCAGCGUGUACCAACCGGCACCUUCGGGACUUGAUAGAAUUUGUGGAUCUGCAUUGGUGUGCGCCCCAGUGGCACCACACAGCCGUCGAUGGGAGGAGCGAUGUCUCUGAGAUCCUGGUGUCACCACGCAGCCGCCGAUGGGAGGAGCAUUGGUGUACUAUUGGCCUUAAGUUCAGUUUCUCUCCUCACUUGAUUGUUUAGAGUCCAAAUAACUUUAGUUGUAGCUUUCUGAGUUUAUGGAGCAGUUAUAAAACCUUGCAUGUCAAGAAAUAAUAUGGCCUGGAUUUGUAUUGGUCUUCAUGUAUAUACAUCAGGCAUUCCGUAGUCAUCAUUUUUCCUUCUUUUGGAGUUCACACUGGCCAUUAUGAUUACAGAAUGUUCAGAAUCAUGUCAUUAGAACCCUAAAUGGAUGAUAUAUAUUUAAAACGAUGAUGCUUGUUGCCUGCUGAUGCUUAAAUGAUAUUGUGUCGAUUGCUGCAUAUAUCUUCAUAGCCUAUUUUUCUAGACCAUUAUCUUUUCACAGAUUAUGCAUGGUAGAUCUUUAGAUGUUAUUUCUGUUUAGGAGUCAAGCAUUAGGAUCUCGAUGGAAGCGACCUAGCAGCUUAAGCUGCAGGGCGUGGAACUGCUCCGCUUCCAAAGGACCAAGCUGAGUAGCGAUGACUCGUUGAGUGAUUGGUUGAAACGACUACAGUCUAGGAGCACGCAGCAACAUCAGACAUUUAUCUUUUUUCAGUUUUCUUCUAAAUUACUCAGUUUGUUCCCUGAUUUUGGUUGAUCGAAUUCCAACAACUUUCUUGCAAUUUGAAUUGCGCAUUGGUUGAGGAGUGCCUAGCAGUUGGCAAGAGAAGAGGAGCAAAAGAACAAGAGGAUGCAAGAUUAUUUUAUGGUUGUGGAACAUAUUUUCCCGGAUUCUAUUUUAAUAAGCAAUCUAUUUUGUCGCUGUUAUAGAAUCCCUUUUAAUGGUGUUAUCAUGUUUCCUAUUUAGGCUGUCUCAACAUAGACAAAUAUGUGAUGGCAAAAAACAUAGAGCAAUAUGUAGGUCAUUCUACUUUGGUUAGAAAUGCUCAUUUUCCUCAAAUCAUGUAUUCCUUGAAAUGCCAGUGCCAUGUUAAUAUGUAUAAGUUAUAGAUGGCCCUUGGUACCAACUUGGAUGCAUGACCGUAUGGUAUAAUCACUCAAUGUACUAUUUAGACAAAUGACUGAUGGAAAGUUGUUUUAUUUUGUAGAGUUAAUAGCUGAUUCUAUCUGUAGACAACCAUGUCUCCUCUAUUUUUGUUAUGCUAAGCUUUCUCACAUAAUUAAUACUCCUAAAACUCCCAUGCCACAACUCUCAUGCACCCUGCCUCCUCAAAAUUCAGUUUCAGCUUACUUGCGUUUUUUUAGUACUUAACUAUAACCUGGGUAAAUGGUGUGGAAGAUUAUCCAAUAGAGUAUCCAUUGAGCCUUUUUUCUUAAGAAAAAAGAUAUAGUCAUGUAAUACAAUCAAUCUGUUUAUUAAAAACUUUCUUAGUUAUUUGAAAGCUUAAAUUGCAUUUAUGUUUGAAAACUCUGUUAUGUUUGGGCAUUUGUCGGGUCACCAGGGAAGGUGACCAGCUUUUACACAGAAGCUCCAUCCGUUUGCUUUGCUUAGCCUGCAUUAUUAUAAGUAAAAAAGUGUGGAUUUAUUUAUUAUAAUAUGGACCAUGAUUAAACUAAGGUGGAUUUUGUCGAAACUUAGAUGUGGAUUUCUCUGGUAGUAAAAGGUCAUCUAUUGCCCUAUCCCUGUUUAAUUAUUUCAUUGCAACAUACCCUGUAUUGCACGAACAAUAAUUGUGGAUGAUUGAGUGUUCAGAUGGAUUGGCUGGGGAAACAACUUUGGGCAUAUAAGGCCCACAUGCUUGACAUCUCGAAUUAUUUGUUCUUUGGCAUGACAUUAUUAAAUCACCUUUUAGUUCUCACUACAAUCCAUUUUAUGCUGGAAUUGGCAAUGGAGACAUGGAUGGGGUUAGUUUAUAAAAGUUGGUAUUCCCAACAGCAAGAUUUUUAUCAUCAACCAAAAGGUAUCCUGAUUACACUAAGCCUAAGUUAAUAAUAUUGUGCUUUUGUAAUUGCCUGCAUUAUUAUAAGUAUGAGAUUUAUACCAAGUCGUCAUUGUUUUGAGUAGUGUUUACGACAGUAGGUCAAGAAUGUUUUGACUUGAGUGAUGCAUCUUAUGGUAUUGUAUAUCAAUAUAUGUUGAAAGCAUAUGUACUAGAUUGUUUUUGUGCAUUAAUGCUCGUGUCAUAGAAACUGAGAAUCAUUUUUCACCUUGAAACAUAUGACGUACAUUUAUGCUGCUGGUAUGUGUUAUCCAAACGGUCUAACUGAAAUUUACGAUCGAAUGUAUUACAAAUGCAUUGUAUUAUUAUUUUGUGAGUUGCUGCAGCGCUCAUUUUUGCGGUAAGACGGGCAAUUGCCGUCAAGACAGGCCUCCUAUCUUCACAUUUUUGCUAAAAGUUAACUUGUGUUGUGUUUCUUCUUAGUGAACAUAUCAGAAUCAAGCUGAAGAAGCUACACCUUUCAUGCCCUGAGUAUCAGAGAGUUCUACAGCUGAAGGAGCUCAAAUUGUGGUGACUGUUGUGUUUUACCUCUCUGCAGAGGCCCACAUACAAAUUUCACCAAAGAUGAGCAAUGACCUAGGCACUAUGGUUCAUACACAGAUACCUGGAACUACGACAUUAAUUUGAGAUGUGAUUCCCACUACCAUGAUAUUGACUCUGAUGGGCUGUCUUGAUAUUAUUGAGAUCACCAAAUUCCAUAUUGGUAGAAGAUUCUAUAACCAUCUUGUGUCUUCUGUUCAAUAUGCAACCUUAAAAAAAUAGGAGGAUAUGCUGCCUUUAAAUAUAUGCAAGUAGUAGAACAGCUACACUAUGUACCUUGAUGAGAUUCUCAUGACUGUUUCUGUCUACUAAGUACUGUACAAUGUAGUCUAAAAAGAGGAUAUGGUGGACCUGAUAACUGAAAAUAGAUCCCUUGCAAGUUUGAUUCUGCCAUUGACUUUCUUUACCAUGGUGGUAAAUGGUAAGAAGAGUAUGACCCGCUCACUGCCUUUUCAGAGCUCAAGAAAAGGAGAAGAAACUACUCAAUGAAGUCUCGGGAACUGCAGUGGUGAUCUAAUUUGGCAUAUGAAAGUUGAGCCAUGGACAUUUGAACACAAGCUUGGGCCUACCAUAUUUUACCUAUGGAUGUCCCCAAAGUAUUAUUGACCUAUUCUGAUACCGGGCAGCUGACAUUGGAGCUCACCUUGGAUGUGGCCUCUCAGAAGAAGCAGCCAAUCAGCAUCUAACGUAGUAGCAUCAUGUUCCGCUUGGCGCUGUACGGCUGUAGGGAGCUAACCUAACGAAGUUGCAACAGCUAAUUUCUAUCUGGGUCGUGAUUCCCUCAGGUGCAGUUGUCGUCCGCUCCACCGCCUAGCAGCUAAUAGGUAUAUCUAUGGCAGUGCUUACCUAAAAUUGAUAUUUAUGCUUACGGUCCUUUAAAAUUUUCCAAGACUUGUGCUAUCUAUAGCUACAGUUUUAGCAUAGCUCAAUGACCAGAUGCAGAUAUUUAUUAAGAAGACAACAUGACAUUACAAGUACAUAAUCAAGAACUCAAGAGUAUUAGAUUCAGAUCUGGAUCAAAGCAGAACCAUAGGACAUAUGAUAAACUACACCUAGAGACAUGACAACCUGAAACUUGGAUUAAACAAUAGUAAUAGACCUAGGAGCUCUCCUCCUAGCAAGCAACCAUCAAUCUCCAGUGUUUUAGUGCUCUAGAGCCUGGAUAGGGAAAUCAACAGCGUAGGAGGGCAAUUUGAUGGGAAAUUUUUUUCAUGUCCAAAUUAACAAUGCAUAUACCGUUCCCUAUUUAUUUGUACUGGUCCUAUCAGUGGAACUUGGAUUGCAUUUUACUGACACCUUUGUUGAGUGUUUAUUUGGGUUCGGAGGUGAGAAAUUAGGAUUACUGAAUCUUUGUCUUUCUAGCAAAGGUUACAUACUUUGUAAGUUGUUUUAAUAUGGGCUUAAUCUCCACUCCAUGGAUUAUCCUCCCACUUUUGUAUUUUAUUGAAAAUUCUAUGGUUAUUAGCCUUCAACUGGUAUGUUUCUUGGCAAAUCGUUGGGUGACAGAGUUGGCAGCUAUGCUUAGAUCGCAUAUCAGGGAAGACAACGAUUAUUUUUCUAUCUUACAUGCUAAUUAUAGUACUUGAAAUGCAGAACGUUAAGAGUUCAUAGUGCUGAUGUGCUUCCUGUUAUAUCAGUUUGUAAAAGAGUGGUAAUAUGCUACUACAAGGCUUAUGUUUCAGAACAAAGGUAAUAAUAUAAGUUCUUCUCUGUUUGUUUGCUUCGGUCCACUGUCGAUACUCUGUUAUUUUUACCAACCAUUGCACUACUUGACAUGGCAAAACAUGAAUUUCCAUUGGACGUUUGUCUUGCUCAAUGGAUACAUCAGCAUAUUAUGGCAUAUAUGCUUGUAUGAGCAUGAACAGUCAUGAUACUUUAGUUAGAACUCUUCACCAAGUGACCCUCAAUUGCAUCUGAGAUACCCCGCACACCACUUUUGAAAACAACCCAAUCAACUCUGCCGUGAACUGGGUUUUUUUUUUGCAAAGGAAAUACUAUUAUGCUGAUGUAUUUCCCACUAGAAAACCGGUGAUAUUUAUACCUAAUUACCUGCAGAUAUGACAAUUUAUUGUAAACAGCCUUAGAUGUAUUUGUCCAAAAACACCAAGUUUGUUCUGACCAUAUGGGUGGUUUUUGUGAUUGUGUAACGUCAAACCAGCCAUUACAGCUGCAAUAACGGUGAUUGCUGCAUACCAAAGUCAGUCUAUGAUUAUGAUAUAGCCAAUGUUAUUCAGUGGCCGGGGGAGAAAUCUGGAUUGUUUUCAGUGUUCAACUUAACGAGAACUAGCGAGUAGACAUUGUUUUGCAUGCUGGUUCAGUUGGAUCUUUGGAGGGCUUGACAGAUAUUUGGAAAGCUCUAUGAAAGCUUCAAGUGAUGCCCAAAAUUCUUGGUGGCGAGUAGUGAACAAAUAUAUUGCCUUGCUUAGGUGAAUUGAAAAGGAGACACACAUAGGACCUUUUAGUUUUUGUCCUUUGUGUGUUCAUGAAGAAGAAGAUCUGUACCAUGCUUUAAUACGUUGUGAGCAUGUCAAACUCUUCUGGUAUGCAGCAAUAAAUUAUUUUGAUCUGAAUUUGCCUAACCUGCACCCUAUUACAUUGGCGAGGGACUUUCUAGAUAGCCAACAUUGCAGUUUCAGUUCCGUGGUGCAUCUGGAGAAACUAGAAAAAUUAUCAUCAUGGACAUGGAGAAGAGAAGUACCAGCCAAGGAGAGCGAAUGAACUAAUAAAACCUGAGUUUCGUAGCAAAGAGAAAGUUUCGGCAUGCUUGCUGCAGGAAGUAUGAAGGUACGGAGGCCCCUGACGACUCAAUCCUUGCCUGAAGAGAUGGAUUAAUGCUAGCAAGGGAGAAAUAUUGAUAUUUUAAGGGGGAAGCAGUACCUUGUCACUGAAUUGUCUCUUUCCUGAAGGCUCUUUUCUGAAGGUAAGUACCCCGAAGAUGAAUUGCACGGCCAGAAUUGGAGUUUGCUGAUGGCCACCACCAAGAUAUGGAUAGAGAGGCGGGAGCAACCACGAACAGCCAGAUCCAUCGUCUUGGAUGGAGGACGGCCAAGGCAACGAUGGUGCGGUGACGAUGAGCCUACUAGGUGUGGUCUUCGAAGGCUCUCGAACGCGGAACUACGACGGUCCUUGCACUGGUGAUGGAGAGGCAAGGGAGGGACCGGUCUGCGCUCGGUCUUCUUGAGAGAGUGGUGGAACUCGAUAAAGUGGGUGAGCUCGAGAGAGUGAGGAGGCGGUCAACUUUACAUCCUUUAUGAAUAUCAAAAUGUUGUUUGGACUAAUCAGAAAAGAAGUAUUCCUUUUGUACCUAUGUUUGUGAUUUGGCUUUAAGGGGAAGAAACCCAAAGCGUCCUGUUUUUACUAGAAGUGAUUGUACGCACAACACCAAAUUGCAAAUAUAGAGAUUUGAACUUGAGCGGGCCGGGAUGCAUCAGCCCAUCCUAGCCACCGGACUAUGCAUCAGUAUACUGUACCUAUGUUUGUAGCAUCCAUAUUUUGUGAGAUAAUAAUACAUCUAAAA
Lolium perenne is the source of this 6722-nucleotide long non-coding RNA. RefSeq lists it as uncharacterized. The record is from RefSeq and is a predicted model, not a curated record. Lineage: Eukaryota; Viridiplantae; Streptophyta; Magnoliopsida; Poales; Poaceae.